UGGAAAACCUUCUGAGCUACAGAAGCUUUCCCGUGGCAUUUAUGGGAUUUGGUUUCGCUGCACUUUCACCCUGAAGAUGGUUUUUAUUGUUUGCCUCAUUGUGUAGCCCUGAAUUCAAAAAAGUUCACGGGCCUUUCUGCCUCCCUAGUAUUGGGAUUAAACGUAUGUCCCAUCACACUUGGCCAGAGACGGUUUUAGAAUCUUGCCAUUUGGGGUAUUUCUGAAAAUUUCAUUAAAAAUUUCAGGUGGCCCAUCCUCAAUUCUAUGGAGGUGGUGAUUCUGCCAUGUGGGGCAAGCCUUGAGAAAUAGAUUUCUCAAGAGCCCCAGUUUUAUUCACUUUCAGGAAAGGCGGUAGUUCUUCCCUUGAGACUCAACCCUUAAACUCGACAGCAACGUUGGAUUUAAGAAUGGCGAUAGUCCAAGCGCACCACUGGAUAGCGCCGAAAGUCCAAAGAUGGAAGAUUAUGACAAUCCGGUAUAUUCAACAUGAUGUGAAAGAAUUCCUCCCACAUAUCCAAAUGAG
RNAcentral lists this long non-coding RNA (523 nucleotides) under Rattus norvegicus (Norway rat). Its description in RNAcentral is "long non-coding RNA NONRATT019670". The record is from RNAcentral. Lineage: Eukaryota; Metazoa; Chordata; Mammalia; Rodentia; Muridae.